RNAcentral lists this ribosomal RNA (253 nucleotides) under uncultured bacterium. RNAcentral describes it as "partial 16S ribosomal RNA". It matches the Rfam family "Bacterial small subunit ribosomal RNA", at positions 524 to 776 of the family's 1533-position model. The record is from RNAcentral.
UACGUAGGUGGCGAGCGUUGUCCGGAUUUACUGGGCGUAAAGGGAGCGUAGGCGGACUUUUAAGUGAGAUGUGAAAUACUCGGGCUCAACUUGAGUGCUGCAUUUCAAACUGGAAGUCUAGAGUGCAGGAGAGGAGAAUGGAAUUCCUAGUGUAGCGGUGAAAUGCGUAGAGAUUAGGAAGAACACCAGUGGCGAAGGCGAUUCUCUGGACUGUAACUGACGCUGCGGCUCGAAAGCGUGGGGAGCAAACAGG